GGAUGUGAGGGCGAUCUGGCUGUGACAUCUGUCACCCCAUUGAUCACCAGGGUUGAUUCAGCUGAUCUGGCUGGCUAGGCGGGUGUCCCUUCCUCCCACUCUGAUCCAUGUGCGUCCCUCCCAAAGCUGCCCACAGGCACUCAGUUGAAGAGGAUGACCUUCCCCCCAGAGGAGAAGACUAAUUUUCAGUCAAGGGUAUACGAGUAGCUGCACUCCCCUGCUAGAACCUCCAAACAAGCUCUCCAAGUGGCUGUGCCAUUUUACAUUCCCCAGCAGGCAUGAAAGUUUUGAAUUCUCCACAUUCUCACCAAUACUUGUUAUUAUCUGA
Molecule: small nuclear RNA, 328 nt
Filed under: Myotis brandtii (Brandt's bat)
Lineage: Eukaryota; Metazoa; Chordata; Mammalia; Chiroptera; Vespertilionidae
Description: 7SK RNA
Rfam family: 7SK RNA
About the family: 7SK was discovered as an abundant small nuclear RNA in the mid-70s but a possible function has only recently been suggested.
Source: Rfam by way of RNAcentral